This 694-nucleotide ribosomal RNA is filed under the name uncultured Eubacteriales bacterium. RNAcentral's name for it is "bacterial SSU rRNA". It matches the Rfam family "Bacterial small subunit ribosomal RNA", at positions 28 to 715 of the family's 1533-position model. The record is from RNAcentral. Lineage: Bacteria; Bacillati; Bacillota; Clostridia; Eubacteriales.
GAUGAACGCUAGCGACAGGCCUAACACAUGCAAGUCGAGGGGCAGCACGAGGUAGCAAUACUUUGGUGGCGACCGGCGCACGGGUGCGUAACGCGUAUGCAACCUACCUAUAAUUGGGGGAUAGCCUUCUGAAAAGGAGAUUAACACCGCAUAAGACAAUAGAGCCGCAUGGCUUAGUUGUUAAAUAUUUAUAGAUUAUAGAUGGGCAUGCGUCUGAUUAGAUAGUUGGUGGGGUAACGGCCCACCAAGUCUACGAUCAGUAGGGGUUCUGAGAGGAAGGUCCCCCACACCGGAACUGAGACACGGUCCGGACUCCUACGGGAGGCAGCAGUGAGGAAUAUUGGUCAAUGGGCGAGAGCCUGAACCAGCCAAGUCGCGUGAAGGAAGACGGCCCUACGGGUUGUAAACUUCUUUUGUAGGGGGAUAAAAAAGAGUACGUGUACUCUCUUGUAGGUACCCUACGAAUAAGGAUCGGCUAACUCCGUGCCAGCAGCCGCGGUAAUACGGAGGAUCCAAGCGUUAUCCGGAUUUAUUGGGUUUAAAGGGUGCGUAGGCGGGUUGUUAAGUCAGUGGUGAAAGGUUGACGCUCAACGUUAACAUUGCCAUUGAAACUGACAGUCUUGAGUACAAAUGAGGUAGGCGGAAUGUGUUGUGUAGCGGUGAAAUGCAUAGAUAUGACACAGAACACCAAUUG